UGUGCGUUGAAGCCGGAGACCGCGGCGGCCUCAGCGAGGACCCUCCGCCCCGGAGCCGCCGGCCGGAGCCGCAGCCUCUGCCGCAGCGCCCCCGCCACCUGUCCCCUCCCCCGCCGCCUCCGCCGGAGCCGCCUCGCGCACUCUGGGGUAUGGCCGUCAAUGUGUACUCCACAUCUGUGACCAGUGAAAAUCUGAGUCGCCAUGAUAUGCUUGCAUGGGUCAACGACUCCCUGCACCUCAACUAUACCAAGAUAGAACAGCUUUGUUCAGGGGCAGCCUACUGCCAGUUCAUGGACAUGCUCUUCCCCGGCUGUGUGCACUUGAGGAAAGUGAAGUUCCAGGCCAAACUAGAGCAUGAAUACAUCCACAACUUCAAGGUGCUGCAAGCAGCUUUCAAGAAGAUGGGUGUUGACAAAGUAGGUGCCUGCGCUCCGGGGGGCCCUGAGGAGCAGUGUGACCCUGGGGAAGAAGAGGACCCACCAGCCCAGGCAACUGGGGCUGCUGGGGUCAUUCCGGUGCUCGUGCCUCCCUCCACCUCCCGACUCUCCAGAGGGAAUUCUCCCCCUGCUCAAGGCACAAUGGAAAAGCCCACAACACUUGCCAUGCCAUCAUGACAACAUUCCUUUCCCUUCCUCCUCUCUGGACCCUGCCCACCCCAACACUGAGCUCUGUGCACCGCUCCUGUGAAGUUCCACCUCUCUCUGUCUCUGUAGGGCCCAAGAAAAUGUCUCUGCUCACUCUACUGCCUCGGUGGCUGCAGACCCCCAGCCCACACGCAGGCAGUAGAGCCAAGGGACGCCUCCCCACACAGUUCUUCCACACGGUGCCUGUAGAGAAGGGAUGCCUCUGGAUCUGACACUAGGGCCUACCAGCCUACCUGUCUGCUCUGGUGCCGUGGGAGGGGGGCAAGUGGAGAAGUGGAGGACGCUGCAGCCCAGGGGCUGGCUUUCCUGAGAGCAGUGGCCCUCAGCAGAGGAAGGCGGCCCUACAGCAGCAGGUGGCUAAAGUACUCUGCUUAUGUGGUCUAUUUCAGAUCAUUCCUGUAGAGAAAUUAGUGAAAGGAAAAUUCCAAGAUAAUUUUGAGUUUAUUCAGUGGUUUAAGAAAUUCUUUGACGCAAACUAUGAUGGAAAGGAUUACAACCCUCUGCUGGCGCGGCAG
This 1159-nucleotide small RNA is filed under the name Pan troglodytes (chimpanzee). Its description in RNAcentral is "retained intron". The record is from RNAcentral. Lineage: Eukaryota; Metazoa; Chordata; Mammalia; Primates; Hominidae.